GAUGAACGCUGGCGGCGUGCUUAACACAUGCAAGUCGAACGGAAAGGCCCAAGCUUGCUUGGGUACUCGAGUGGCGAACGGGUGAGUAACACGUGGGUGAUCUGCCCUGCACUUCGGGAUAAGCCUGGGAAACUGGGUCUAAUACCGGAUAGGACGAUGGUUUGGAUGCCAUUGUGGAAAGUUUUUUCGGUGUGGGAUGAGCUCGCGGCCUAUCAGCUUGUUGGUGGGGUAAUGGCCUACCAAGGCGUCGACGGGUAGCCGGCCUGAGAGGGUGUAGGGCCACAUUGGGACUGUGAUACAGCCCAGAGUCGUACGGGAGGCAGAAGUGGGGAAUAUUGCACAAUGGGCGCAAGCCUGAUGCAGCGAGGCCGCGUGGGGGAUGACGGCCUUCGGGUUGUAAACUCCUUUCGCUAGGGACGAAGCGUUUUUGUGACGGUACCUGGAGAAGAAGCACCGGCUAACUACGUG
Molecule: ribosomal RNA, 468 nt
Filed under: uncultured bacterium
Lineage: Bacteria
Description: partial 16S ribosomal RNA
Rfam family: Bacterial small subunit ribosomal RNA
Source: RNAcentral